UAUUACUAAUAUAGAUCUAAUUCCAAACGAUUCGUAAGCACUAAGCAGGAUAUCAUAUUCAUACCGCACUGAAAUAAAAAAUUACGGAUUUGUAUUAAUUUUUUUAAAUUAUGAAGCGGCAAUCAUUUCAAACGUACGUCUCUCAAAUAGCGAAACUCUUCGAAAAAUUUGUUGAUCCUUUGGCGAGAGACGUCUCUUUGAUUUAUUUUCCGAGUAUUAUUCGCUGAUGGAGCCGCCGCAAAUCUGCACUUCGGGAACGGGCAGUAAAAUCGCACAUCGUAGUCCAAAUCGCCGCAGUUAACGCUGGACGCCUGGAAUUUCUCCUGAUGACCAGCCUAAACAGAAAACUUUUUUUCCAAACCAUUAUGUUACUAUUUAGGUGAAUCAGUAUUCCACCUGAAAGUGGCACUCGGCGCUAGAAAACCCAUGAUGCAGUAGCGCGUGCACCCUGGAAAUUUCGUAGGUCGGGAAGAUUUUCUCGCACAGCGAGCAUCUUGAAGAAGGUGCAUUGGUUUGUGCGUGUCUGGCGCUAUGGCCGUCGCCAUUGCACAUGGCCAAUUUGUCACCAGAGAUCACCGCAAAGAAGAGUAAUCAUGAGAUGCGUGACUGACGGCCGUGACGGGA
Paramacrobiotus metropolitanus is the source of this 624-nucleotide long non-coding RNA. RefSeq lists it as uncharacterized. The transcript is spliced from 3 exons. NCBI's taxonomy places the organism in Eukaryota, Metazoa, Tardigrada, Eutardigrada, Parachela, Macrobiotidae. The record is from RefSeq and is a predicted model, not a curated record.